This 519-nucleotide unclassified non-coding RNA is filed under the name uncultured Glomus. RNAcentral describes it as "SSU rRNA". It matches the Rfam family "Eukaryotic small subunit ribosomal RNA", at positions 569 to 1089 of the family's 1831-position model. The record is from RNAcentral. Lineage: Eukaryota; Fungi; Glomeromycota; Glomeromycetes; Glomerales; Glomeraceae.
AGCAGCCGCGGUAAUUCCAGCUCCAAUAGCGUAUAUUAAAGUUGUUGCAGUUAAAAAGCUCGUAGUUGAAUUUCGGGGUCAGUAGAUUGGUCGUGCCACUGGUAUGUACUGGUCUUACUGGCUCCUCCUUCCUGAUGAACCGUAAUGCCAUUAAUUUGGUGUUGCGGGGAGACUGGACUGUUACUUUGAAAAAUUAGAGUGUUUAAAGCAGGCUAACGCUUGAAUACAUUAGCAUGGAAUAAUGAAAUAGGACGUUCGAUCUUAUUUUGUUGGUUUCUAAGAUUGACGUAAUGAUUAAUAGGGAUAGUUGGGGGCAUUAGUAUUCAAUUGUCAGAGGUGAAAUUCUUGGAUUUUAUUGAAGACUAACUACUGCGAAAGCAUUUGCCAAGGAUGUUUUCAUUAAUCAAGAACGAAAGUUAGGGGAUCGAAGACGAUCAGAUACCGUCGUAGUCUUAACCAUAAACUAUGCCGACUAGGGAUCGGAUGAUGUUAAUUUUCUAAUGACUCAUUCGGCUACCG